UGGGGAAUAUUGCACAAUGGAGGGAACUCUGAUGCAGCGACGCCGCGUGAGUGAUGAAGGAAUUCGUUUCGUAAAACUCUGUUCUAGGGGAAGAAAAGGACUGUACCAUAGGAGAAAGCUCCGGCUAAAUACGUGCCAGCAGCCGCGGUAAUACGUAUGGAGCGAGCGUUGUCCGGAAGUAUUGGGCGUAAAGGGUGCGCAGGCGGCUUUACAAGUUGGAUGUGAAAUAUUGUGGCUCAACCACAAACGUGCAUCCAAAACUGCAAAGCUUGAGGUAAGGAGAGGUAAGUGGAAUUCCUGGUGUAGCGGUGGAAUGCGUAGAUAUCAGGAGGAAUAACGGUGGCGAAGGCGACUUACUGGACUUAAACUGACGCUCAGGCACGAAAGCGUGGGGAGCAAACAGG
Molecule: ribosomal RNA, 404 nt
Filed under: Fusobacteriota bacterium
Lineage: Bacteria; Fusobacteriati; Fusobacteriota
Description: Fusobacteria bacterium partial 16S ribosomal RNA
Rfam family: Bacterial small subunit ribosomal RNA
Source: RNAcentral